This 425-nucleotide ribosomal RNA is filed under the name uncultured bacterium. RNAcentral describes it as "partial 16S ribosomal RNA". It matches the Rfam family "Bacterial small subunit ribosomal RNA", at positions 354 to 796 of the family's 1533-position model. The record is from RNAcentral.
GUGGGGAAUAUUGGACAAUGGGCGCAAGCCUGAUCCAGCCAUGCCGCGUGAGUGAUGAAGGCCUUAGGGUUGUAAAGCUCUUUUGUCCGGGAAGAUAAUGACUGUACCGGAAGAAUAAGCCCCGGCUAACUUCGUGCCAGCAGCCGCGGUAAUACGAAGGGGGCUAGCGUUGUUCGGAAUCACUGGGCGUAAAGCGCACGUAGGCGGACCGUUAAGUCAGGGGUGAAAGCCUGGAGCUCAACUCCAGAACUGCCUUUGAUACUGAUGGUCUCGAGUAUGGAAGAGGUUGGUGGAACUGCGAGUGUAGAGGUGAAAUUCGUAGAUAUUCGCAAGAACACCGGUGGCGAAGGCGGCCAACUGGUCCAUUACUGACGCUGAGGUGCGAAAGCGUGGGGAGCAAACAGGAUUAGAAACCCUUGUAGUCC